Long non-coding RNA from Prinia subflava (tawny-flanked prinia), 1714 nucleotides. RefSeq lists it as uncharacterized. The transcript is spliced from 3 exons. NCBI's taxonomy places the organism in Eukaryota, Metazoa, Chordata, Aves, Passeriformes, Cisticolidae. The record is from RefSeq and is a predicted model, not a curated record.
CUGUAACCUGAUGUAACCUGUGGCAUCUCAGCUGUAGGCCAGGAACCCUGGAAAAGCAAGCUCGCAUUCACGAGGAGCCGCUUACUCUUGAAAGCCCAGCUGUCUUGCAAGAGGUGCCGCACAGGGUAGGAAGAGUUGGGAGCGAACAGUCUGAGGAAGUGGACUGUGGAAGCUGAAGGUUGUCCAGCCAAAGCUGAGUGUGUGGCUCUGACACUGACCAAGGCUGGAAAGAGUUACUGUGUGGACAGAGAAUGUUAGAGCCGGGUGAGCUUUCACAGGAUGAAAGAAGCGAGGAGAGAAUCGAAUGGAAAGAAUUGCUGAGAUCAGGCAGCUGGCAAAAGAGGAGAGAGCCCCUGCGAGGCAGAGCCCCUGGAAUGCCCUGUCCCGGUCUGAGGUUCCCACUUUUAUCUCCGACUCCCGGAGAAUUGCUGGAGCAGAACCAGAGAGUGUCCAUUUUAUUUCCUGCCUUUUCCAAUAAACGGUGACUUUCAGCUGGAGUGUGUUCCUGGUGUUAUCCUCCUCCUCCUCCUCCCUGGAUUUGUAAAUAAAUGUCCUGAUUUUGGCCAAGUAGAAUUUUGUUGUUCCAGGCAUUGUGGCUCUUUUGUUUCAUUGAAACUUCCCAACUCUGCUGAGACUUUGAGAUGUCAAAUACAAGUAAGACUGGAGUUUCUUGGGAUUGUUACUCACACAAAAUAGGGAUCCUUCUUGGACAGGAGUAACUUGACGUGUUUAAUGCCGCUUCCCUUUAAAAUCAGAGCAGGGGAAGCAGAUUUGAAAUCAUCAUUCCAUGAACUUGCACCAAAUUCCUCCAAAGCUGCAAAAGUUUUCCUUGUUAGAAAUUCCUGAGCUUGUUUUCCAGGCAAGCUGGGAUUUAGAUGUUCUUUGUUCCUUGGAUUUGCUGGUUUUCCUCUCUCUCAUUUUAGUAAAGGAUUUUUUUUUUUUCAUAUUUUCCAUGCUGAUUGGAAUUUUUGUACUGCUCAGGGCACAUUGCCAAGGAAAUGUACCAAUUUCAUGUUGGUAAAUCAGGCAUUGUUCAGCACCAUAUGCCCACAAGUCUGUAAAUUUCCAGGGAAACUUGCUAAGUGUUGAAUUGCCAUAAUGAAUCUCUUUGUAAAGUUGAUUAUACUUUUUUCUUUAUUUUUAAUUACUUUGAAUUUUUUAUGUAGGGUUUUUUUUUAAUAAGUGAUGUCUUUUUGUAUUUUUAAAUUUUUUCUUUUAAAAAAUUUUCUAUUUUAAUUUUUCCUUUGUAAUUUUUCCUUUGUAAUUUUUCCUUUGUAAUUUUCCUAUUUUAUUUUUUCCUUUUUAUUUUUUUCCUUUUUAUUUUUUCCUUUUUAUUUUUUUCCUUUUUAUUUUUUCCUCUUUUUUUCUCUCUUUAACUUUUUCCUUUUUAAUUUUUUCCUUUUUAUUUUUUUCCUUUUUAAUUUUUUCCUUUUUAAUUUUUUCCUUUUUAUUUUUUUCCUUUUUAAUUUUUUCCUUUUUAAUUUUUUUCUUUUUAUUUUUUCCUUUUUAUUUUUUCCUUUUUUUUUUUUUCCUUUUUACUUUUUUCCUUUUUAUUUUUUUCCUUUUAAUUUUUGCUUUUUAUUUUCUUUCUUUCUAAUUUUUCCUUUUUAACUUUUUAAUUUUAUUUUUUUCUGUGUUUUACUUGAAAUUUUAUUUGAAAACUUUUUUUUUUUCUUCAUGUUUUCUUUGUGUUGGUGUGUUUUGGUUUGGUUUG